This 370-nucleotide ribosomal RNA is filed under the name uncultured eukaryote. Its description in RNAcentral is "SSU rRNA". It matches the Rfam family "Eukaryotic small subunit ribosomal RNA", at positions 587 to 972 of the family's 1831-position model. The record is from RNAcentral.
AGCUCCAAUAGCGUAUAUUAAAGUUGUUGCAGUUAAAAAGCUCGUAGUUGGACUUGUGAAUGUGCUGGGGGCCAAUUUGCGCCAUCCGGGACGUUCAUUUUUGGGUGGAAGCUGCCGGGCAUUAGGUUGUUUGGUAGCGGACGUCCAUCUUUUACUGUGAGAAAAUUAGCGCGUUCAAAGCAAGCUUAUGCUGUUGAAUAUGUUAGCAUGGAAUAAUGAGAUAGGACCUCGGUACUAUUUUGUUGGUUUGUGCACUGAGGUAAUGGUUAAUAGGGAUUGUUGGGGGUAUUCGUAUUCCACUGUCAGAGGUGAAAUUCUUGGAUUUUUGGAAGACGAACUACUGCGAAAGCAUUUACCAAGGAUGUUUUCA